This is a long non-coding RNA of Balaenoptera acutorostrata (minke whale), 671 nucleotides long. RefSeq lists it as uncharacterized. The transcript has 4 exons. Lineage: Eukaryota; Metazoa; Chordata; Mammalia; Artiodactyla; Balaenopteridae. The record is from RefSeq and is a predicted model, not a curated record.
UGGACAACUAAAGCUCAUCAAAAAUUGUGGGCAUGGAAAGCAGGAGAAACGGGAAAAUACAUCUCCAAAAGGCCACGCCAUGUGGCAUGUGGGAUCUUAGUUCCCCGACCAGGGAUCGAACCCGGGCCCCCUGGGGUGGGAGUGCAGAGUCUUAACCACUGGACUGCCAGGCUGGCAGCGUGCCAACAAGAACUGGAAUUCAUUUUCGGAACAAAGGAGGACACAUAGUUCUGUCCAUGGAAGAGGUCUAGAAGGAAUGAUCAAUUCAGUAACAAUGUGCAGAUUGAUGUCUUUGAAUAUCACUUCCGCUGAAAGGAACCAGCCAUCCUUGGAGAGAGGUCUGGGAAAGGAAAUUACAUGGGAUUAACUUGGAAAAUCUUGUCUGGGCAGAUAGCAAGGCAGCUAUCAAAAACCACUAGGGGGGCUUCCCUGGUGGCGCAGUGGUUGGGAAUCUGCCUGCCAAUGCAGGGGACACGGGUUCGAGCCCCGGUCUGGGAAGAUCCCACAUGCCACGGAGCAACUGGGCCCGUGAGCCACAAUUACUGAGCCUGCGCGUCUGGAGCCUGUGCUCCGCAACAAGAGAGGCCGCGACAGUGAGAGGCCCGCGCACCGCGAUGAAGAGUGGUCCCCACUCGCUGCAACUGGAGAAAGCCCUCGCACAGAAACGAAGA